This 442-nucleotide ribosomal RNA is filed under the name uncultured bacterium. Its description in RNAcentral is "partial 16S ribosomal RNA". It matches the Rfam family "Bacterial small subunit ribosomal RNA", at positions 338 to 795 of the family's 1533-position model. The record is from RNAcentral.
CCUACGGGGGGCAGCAGUGGGGAAUAUUGGGCAAUGGGCGCAAGCCUGACCCAGCAAUGCCGCGUGAAGGAAGAAGGCUUUCGGGUUGUAAACUUCUUUGACAGGGGAAGAGCAGAAGACGGUACCCUGAAAACAAGCCACGGCUAACUACGUGCCAGCAGCCGCGGUAAUACGUAGGUGGCAAGCGUUAUCCGGAUUUACUGGGUGUAAAGGGAGCGUAGACGGCAAUACAAGUCGGAAGUGAAAUACCCGGGCUCAACCUGGGAACUGCUUUGGAAACUGUAUGGCUGGAGUGCUGGAGAGGUAAGCGGAAUUCCUAGUGUAGCGGUGAAAUGCGUAGAUAUUAGGAGGAACACCAGUGGCGAAGGCGGCUUACUGGACAGUAACUGACGUUGAGGCUCGAAAGCGUGGGGAGCAAACAGGAUUAGAUACCCCAGUAGUC